UCUGGUGAUUAUGGAACAGCUGCUACACCCGUUCCCAUUCCGAACACGAUGGUUAAACGCUGUAUCGCCGAGAGUACUGCCCGGGUGACUGGGUGGAAGGGUAGGAUGUUGCCAGGU
RNAcentral lists this ribosomal RNA (117 nucleotides) under Clostridium sp. 19966. The record is from RNAcentral. Lineage: Bacteria; Bacillati; Bacillota; Clostridia; Eubacteriales; Clostridiaceae.